CUGAAAUAGGCUGCCCCAGAUGGGAGUACAGUGAGGAGUCGGGCUGGCGAGGAGAGAAUGGAAAAGAAACAGAAAAUUAGAAAAAGAGAAUUUUAAGACAACUGUCAGGUCCUGGCUGGGGGCCUCUAGGCAUCUCUAUGCUCCUGGUGGUCACAGCCACGGACUGUCGCAGGGGCAGGAGGAAGAGCCCCUGCCGCCAUGGGAGCGUGAGUACAAAGAGGCGUCAAAGGAUGACCAGGAGAUGCUUCUGUCUCCUAACUCGUGGGGGCUCUUGGAUGAGCCCUUGCAGACUUGGAACCAGAGGAGGGAGGAGGAACACUUUGGCCUCCAACCCCGAAAGAUCGGCCACCACCAGAGGGAUUCUUUGACCGGCCUCUGGAGGAGCAAGGUGCAAGGUGGUGGAGGUCUUAUGGCAGUGGAAAAGGAUGAAGAGGCCUUCGAGCAACGUAAUCAAAUGCGGAGGGAACGUCUGAGGCCCUGGUUGCCGGAUGCAUCGGCGGGCAAGGAGGCAACACCCAGCCAGGCCUGUGAUAUUUUGGUAUUAUCUUUUAAAUGAAAAGUAUUGCAGUAUUUAGCUAGCAGUGUAGUCAGCUAACUGGUUGGGUGUGCAUUUCUUCUGAUUAUAUUCAUAUUUGGAAAGUCCCAUAGCUAACUAUGUAACCAAUCGUCUGGUUAGGUUUGUCAGUCAGACUACCAAAAAGUGGUCUGGCCGUAAAUGUGUGUUUCACUAGUGAAGCAACAACCUGUCACUUUCAGUAGCUGGUAGCUGGGGACGCAGUAUUGUGCUUUUCUGACAAUGUUGUCAUUUGAUUGUGAUGAUAUCCUAAAUCUGACGAAAUAUGUGCCGCUUACUUGCACUUAUCAUCUACUGUAUAAAAAGUUAUGUAUUGAGAUUGGUGUGCCAUAUACUAACUUUGUUAUAAUCACAUGUAUGGACAUCAAAUUAUUCCUGGCUCAAUCUCAUCAAGUUGCAGUGCUUCAUUUUACGCAAACUUAGAUGUUCAUUCUUGUUUCUACAGAUGUCAGUCAUAAAGAAAAUGACCGCAACUGCUAUCUAAAACUAGCAUACUGUCUGGUUCGUCUAGGAGCCUAUUAGAGAAAUUGUGUAAAGGCAAAUGCAUGCUGCUGUCAUAGAGGAAGCAGAGAAGGGAGAGUGUGAAGUAGUAGUGUCGACAGAAUGGGAGAAAUAAAAUAUUCGAAG
Molecule: long non-coding RNA, 1201 nt
Organism: Esox lucius (northern pike)
Lineage: Eukaryota; Metazoa; Chordata; Actinopteri; Esociformes; Esocidae
Source: Ensembl